CCUACGGGUGGCUGCAGUCGAGAAUCAUUCACAAUGGGGGAAAACCUGAUGGUGCGACGCCGCGUGGGUGAAUGAAGGUCUUCGGAUUGUAAACCCCUGUCAUGUGGGAGCAAAUUAAAAAGAUAGUACCACAAGAGGAAGAGACGGCUAACUCUGUGCCAGCCGCCGCGGUAAUACCGAGGUCUCAAGCGUUGUUCGGAAUCACUGGGCGUAAAGCGUGCGUAGGCUGUUUCGUAAGUCGGGUGUGAAAGGCGCGGGCUCAACCCGCGGACGGCACAUGAUACUGGGAGACUAGAGUAAAGGAGGGGGAACCGGAAUUCUCGGUGUAGCAGUGAAAUGCGUAGAUAUCGAGAGGAACACUCGUGGCGAAGGCGGGUUCCUGGACAUUAACUGACGCUGAGGCACGAAGGCCAGGGGAGCGAAAGGGAUUAGAUACCCUUGUAGUC
This 446-nucleotide ribosomal RNA is filed under the name uncultured bacterium. RNAcentral's name for it is "partial 16S ribosomal RNA". It matches the Rfam family "Bacterial small subunit ribosomal RNA", at positions 338 to 795 of the family's 1533-position model. The record is from RNAcentral.